RNAcentral lists this ribosomal RNA (551 nucleotides) under Davidiella sp. C42. RNAcentral describes it as "eukaryotic LSU rRNA". The stretch from base 207 to 360 matches the Rfam family "5.8S ribosomal RNA". Lineage: Eukaryota; Fungi; Ascomycota; Dothideomycetes; Cladosporiales; Cladosporiaceae. The record is from RNAcentral.
GUGAACCUGCGGAAGGAUCAUUAUCGAGUGAACCUGCGGAGGGAUCAUUACAAGUGACGCCGGGGCUUCGGCCUGGAUAUUCAUAACCCUUUGUUGUCCGACUCUGUUGCCUCCGGGGCGACCCUGCCUUCGGGCGGGGGCUCCGGGUGGACACUUCAAACUCUUGCGUAACUUUGCAGUCUGAGUAAACUUAAUUAAUAAAUUAAAACUUUUAACAACGGAUCUCUUGGUUCUGGCAUCGAUGAAGAACGCAGCGAAAUGCGAUAAGUAAUGUGAAUUGCAGAAUUCAGUGAAUCAUCGAAUCUUUGAACGCACAUUGCGCCCCCUGGUAUUCCGGGGGGCAUGCCUGUUCGAGCGUCAUUUCACCACUCAAGCCUCGCUUGGUAUUGGGCAACGCGGUCCGCCGCGUGCCUCAAAUCGUCCGGCUGGGUCUUCUGUCCCCUAAGCGUUGUGGAAACUAUUCGCUAAAGGGUGUUCGGGAGGCUACGCCGUAAAACAACCCCAUUUCUAAGGUUGACCUCGGAUCAGGUAGGGAUACCCGCUGAACUUAA